UUUCCAGCUAGAUCAACAAAUGAUGCAACAAUAGAACCACGUGAAAAGGUCAAUGUUAAUGUUUAGAAAGUUUUUAAUAACAAUGUGCCCAUUUCUCAAGAAUAAACUAAUUUAGAUCAGUUUGGAGUUGAUAUUUAGACAGCAGGCUCCUCUGGGCGCGGUGCCCUGCAUGUUUUAGACAUUUCUCUGCUCCUGAUUCAGCCUGUUAAUCUGCCAUCAGUAGAUUCAGGUGAGCUGAAGCAGAGAAACAUGUCAAAUAGAGGAGGUCAGGUCCAGUGGACCCACUGCCAUGCUGCUACUUUUAGAAACAUUUCUUCUCCAACACACCUGAAUCAAAUGAAUGGCUCGUUACCACGCCUCUGUCUUUGGCCUUAUUAAGGUAAUAAUAACUUAAUAAUGUUUCACACAUAACUGUUUUUGUUGUUACUGUUGGCUAUAAGAAAAUGACAGAAAAAAAUUAGUUGGUAAGAAAACAAAUGCAUUUUAUUGAAUGUUGCAUUCAAUAUUUACUGAAAAUGAAGACAAGGAUGUAGUUUGCAGAUUUAUGACAAAAUAAUAUUUGUUCCAUUGGUGCCCUUCUGUUAUGGAUUUUCAAAGCAGAUAUUUCAUCAAAACCAAGAUAACUGUUAAAACUGAGAUUUUCAUUAAAUUUAUAGUUAUUUUUAUGUAAUAUUUGUCCAAAGCUGUGGAAGCGCCAAAGAGCCACAUGAGGUCUGGAGCCGGCGUUGUCAACCAUUGAGAACGAUGAGAUGAACCCACAACAAUAACAGGAAGACUUUCAUUACGUUCCUUGGUUUUCUUCACGGCUUUGGAGAGCAGAACAAGUCACCGUCCAGGAAUAUUCUCUUUCUUGUCUGACAUACCUCACUUUUUGAAAAGGACUAAAAAAACGAAUCUUACUCAGUUAUGAAAACACUGAAACAGUGACUGCCACAGCAUUGAACCAGACGUUCAGUUUAGUUGCUGUUUUUGAUUUGAACUCUGAACUUGAGCCAUUUUAGAAGAUCUUUCAUCUGGAUAAGAAGGACUUUUAUCUUUUAUCUCACUCAUAUGCUUGGCUAGACUGAAAUAGAUUCUUAUUAGACUGAACGGGAUAAAACGGUCAUGCUAUGCCUUUAUUUUCCUCAAUGAAAUAGAUUAUAUUUUAUUUUUCAAUGAUUAGAUACAACCCUCUAAGUUUUGAACAACACAUGGAGUCUGAGUGACCUGUUCUUUGUAUUUGCUUUGCUAAUUCUCACAGGUUUGCCAAUCUGCUGUAGACGUUUUGAUCUCGUUAUUUCCAGCCACUGCAUUUUGUUCUGUCUGCCUCUGUGUGCUAAGAUGCACAAUACCCCCAGAAGCAUUAGACACCGCUCCAAAUAAUUGAAUUGAAAUGGUCUUAAUACAAUUCCAAGGGUAUGCAUUUAAAAUAAAGCACCCAGGCAUUGCUUCUACAAACAUUUGGUUAAGAAUGGCUCAUGAUCAGGAGUUCAGUGGACUUCAGCGUGUUUCCAGCAUCCAGACGUUUCAUCACUAACUACAAUCCAAAGGGCAGUGAUAUUUUAGAGUGCACACUCCAGCUGCACUAUAAAGCAAUGAAAGGUGACCUGUGAAGUGACAAAUCACACCUCUCUCUCCUUAGUAAUUUUGAGCCUGGGUGAACCAGUUGUCAGGUAAAUGUAACAACUUUAGAAAAUGUGCUUUAAUUUUUUAUUAUUAUAAUGUUUGAAAUUUCACCAAAUCCUGAUUAACACUGAGGAAUCCUAUUUCUUUCUUAUAUUUUAAGAAUAUUAUUAUUUUACUUAUUUUGAUAAGCACUAGUACCUGUACUGUCACUUUAAGAGAUUGUCUUAUGACAUCAGCACUGUACUACCUUCAGUUGGCGCUAGGCUGCCUGCGAAGAGGGGAAUUCCGACUCCUGUGAAUGGAAGAGCUGCAUCUUAAAGGGCAUUUUUAUUUCUAUUUGUGCAGGCCUCUGCCAGCAACCUGCAUUAAAGAACAACGAACAACUCCUGUGGUCUGACUCCCUUCUCCAUCUGAACACAACGCAGAACACAUCAAGGUUAACCGACUGUAUAAGAGUAGGAUAUCAGAAAAGAACACUAAUAGUAUACACCGGUUACAUAAACAACAUAACCCUGAAUGCAAUGUGUCAAGUGCAACAUUAGGUGCAGAGAGGAGCGUAAUGAGGGGCUGUUUUCAGAGGUUGGUUUUACUGCUUGGUUCCAUUACAAGGAGCAAUUUUAAUAUUUCAUCACAGUCAUUUUAGACAGUUUCAUGACUCUUAAGACAGGGCCGGGAUGGACUUUCCUGUUUCAAUAUGAGUCAUUGCACCAAAGGAGCAUCUGAAUGGGUUUGGUGUUGUCUGGCCUCCAUAUGUUCUUCACCUGAACCAGUUCCUCCAACAUCAGUAGCUGCGUUUCCAUUGACCAUGAAACUGGGCAAACUGAAAUUCUGAAAAUAUAUUUGCUUUGUGGGAACACGGCAAUAAAUUUUUUUUGAUAAAACGUUUUUCAGUAAGAUCAAAACACUUUCUUCGUAUCACAAUGCACGCGAUCAACAGCCGGAUGUACUACUGGGGAAAACCAUGAAGAAGAAGACAACAGGAAGCGACCAUUUGUUUUUGUUUUUCAGACAGUGUGCAGCCGGCUCCACCAGCUCUCACAGCAGCUGCAUGGUUCAUAAAAUGUUGUGUGUCUGGAAAAUCACCAGUUUCUGCAAAUUCAAAUUCUAUUGAAGCAGAAUUACCAUUUCAAACAAACAGACCAUAUAUUUUGUAAACCUACAGUUUAUUGUCUCAUAAUGACAUGAGAUCGAUCACAUUUAAAAGAUAAAAAGUACCAAUAACUUUUUGUCCCCUGAUCUAAAUAAAAAUCACUGAAAAUCAUGCAUGCUA
Molecule: long non-coding RNA, 2875 nt
Organism: Xiphophorus couchianus (Monterrey platyfish)
Lineage: Eukaryota; Metazoa; Chordata; Actinopteri; Cyprinodontiformes; Poeciliidae
Exons: 3
Source: RefSeq, a predicted model, not a curated record